CAGCCGCCACGGUAAUACGUAGGGUGCGAGCGUUAAUCGGAAUUACUGGGCGUAAAGCGUGCGCAGGCGGUUUUGUAAGACAGGCGUGAAAUCCCCGGGCUCAACCUGGGAAUGGCGCUUGUGACUGCAAAGCUAGAGUGCGGCAGAGGGGGAUGGAAUUCCGCGUGUAGCAGUGAAAUGCGUAGAUAUGCGGAGGAACACCGAUGGCGAAGGCAAUCCCCUGGGCCUGCACUGACGCUCAUGCACGAAAGCGUGAGGAGCAAACAGGAUUAGAUACCCCAGUAGUCCCUGUCUCUUAUAC
This 301-nucleotide ribosomal RNA is filed under the name uncultured bacterium. RNAcentral describes it as "partial 16S ribosomal RNA". It matches the Rfam family "Bacterial small subunit ribosomal RNA", at positions 509 to 807 of the family's 1533-position model. The record is from RNAcentral.